AAUGAAAUUAUCGCACGAAUUAAAUUUUUAAGUGGAUUUCAUAUUCAUGAAAAACGAUGGCGGAGCUAUUAAACAAGAUGUCCAAGCUCAUUAAUUAAGCUCGCCAAGCAGCGCGCCAAGGUUGAGGGGGCGCGGGGUGACUUUAGCGGGCGACUUUAUAAUUGGCGGGGGGUUGCGCGCGCACAUUUGGUCGUUUUCGUUCCGCAUGUCCGCGACCAUCGUUCCUAUUCCACGUUCCGUCCGACGGCUCUUAAGAUGGCGCAUCGAUCCUAUCGCGUGACGUCUUGUCAGCUGCGAUAUCUCGUGCGCGUACGAAUCGGCGUCGCGUCGCAGCGCGUCGCUGGAGGUUUGUUGUCGCGGCUAAGGGAAAUCAGCACGGAAACGAGAAAAGGGAAAUGAUGCGCCCGACGCAUCGCGACGUUGCGAAGUCACGCGUGCCACCAAUGUGAAUGGGGUGAAUCCUCGAAACGUGACCUGACGUCACGCACGCACGCACGCACGUACGCACGGCCGUCCCCGCUCGCUGCCGGCUUCGCCUUCCUCUCGGCUCGCCUCUGCGGCGGAAUAACGCGUUGAAUGAUGUGUUAACGUUGUCGUUACGUUCUAAGCAUAAUUCUCUGAAAUUUCUAAGAGUCCUCAUACGUAAGUCUGAAAAAUGGCAGUAUUGUAUGACAUAUAUAAUGCUCGUCAUGAAUUUGCGUAACGUCGAUAAGACGGCCUCGAAUUAACGUCUCGUGAUUACGUUAAACGCUCGUUUGGUCUUUCGCGCAUGGUGACAAUUCAAGGCCAUUGAUCAAUGACACCAAGUUCAAUGUAUCAUAUGACGUAUUAAAUAUCAUUACGUGUUAUCAGUUUAUUGAUUUUUGUCUACUAACAUUAGACACUUAACAUAAGUAACAUAAGCCGCUAACAAGCUUGAUUUGGUAUUAGAUUAAAUUAACAACAAGAAAUUAACAAAACGUCACUAAAAAAUGAUCACAAAAAUUUUCUCAGCACCCUUGAUGUAUUUAACAUUCAUUCAACAUUUUCUAAAAUUUAAUACUUUUGUCAAAGCUAAUUUCCGAGUGAUAAUAAAAAAAUAAUAGCUCGGAAAAUAGAAAUGAAUUUAUAUUUCUUUUAAAACAUUCUGAUGUAUUCUAUCGUGAAAUAAACGAAUCGCAUAAACAAUGCAUGAAAUGCGAAAGCCACGUAUUGAAGUCAGUUGGAUAUCGCAGAAAUAGGACACAAAACGGCGAGUGGCAUUAAUAAUAAAAGCACAGGUUUCAUAAUCUAGUUAUUUUGCAAUAGUUGAUUUGUAUUCGUGUCGCAAAAAGCAGGAAACUCAAAAUGAUGCUGAUUAUGUAGUGAUCACUAAGAGGUUUGCCAUCUUGGAUCUUCUUUUUUUUUUCUUCACUUAAUGCGCGACACAAUGUGGCGAUUAGAUAUUACGUGACGUAUAACGAAUUCAAAACUAUAAACACAUACAGGAAAAAA
Molecule: long non-coding RNA, 1473 nt
Organism: Pogonomyrmex barbatus (red harvester ant)
Lineage: Eukaryota; Metazoa; Arthropoda; Insecta; Hymenoptera; Formicidae
Source: RefSeq, a predicted model, not a curated record